GCUGCCAUCUUACCUGGUGGUAUUGGGUCAAACUGAAUUCUAAUACUGCCUGGUAAUGAUGGU
Petromyzon marinus (sea lamprey) is the source of this 63-nucleotide non-coding RNA. The record is from Rfam. Lineage: Eukaryota; Metazoa; Chordata; Hyperoartia; Petromyzontiformes; Petromyzontidae.